GACCCGGAUUGCGGUGUUUUGACCCUAGCGGCGCUCCGUCUGCGUAGCAGCUGCCAGUGCCAUCAUGGCGGCGGUGUGGCUGCGGCAGGAGCUCUCAAUGUCAACGGCUUUGGCGAAGCACCUGGCGAGGGGGGCAGGAGGCGGGGCGCCAGCAACCGUUGGGGCCCGCUUGACUCCAGCCAGGUCACUGAACACUUCCACAUGGCUGCUGGCACAGGACCAAGCCCAAGACACGCAACUCAUCACAGUUGAUGAAAAAUUGGAUCUUACACCUUUAACUGGUGUUCCAGAGGAGCAUAUUAAAACCAGGAAAGCUCAUAUCUUUGUUCCUGCACGUAAUGCCAUGCAAGCUGGGGUUAACAACACCAAAAAAUGGAAGUUGGAAUUUGACACAAGGGAGCGCUGGGAAAACCCCUUAAUGGGCUGGGCAUCUUCGGCGGAUCCUCUGUCUAAUCUGUUUCUAACCUUUUCUACAAAAGAAGCAGCAAUUGCAUUUGCUGAAAAAAAUGUCUUGUUUUAGAUGUAUGAGAAUAGAAGGAAAGAAGCCUCAUUGCCCUCUGAUCCUGGAUAGCCCUCAGAAUUUGCUCACAACCAGAGUACUCUUGUUGCACUACCAUUGAGAAGCUGAGUAUUCCCUUAUCUUCUCCAUCGAUUAGCAAUGAAAUUUCCUCUUCUGUGGCCAGCACCUCUCCACUCCUGUAGCCGCAACAUGAUGCAUGUAAAUGGAAGGCUGGAGCUAUGAUGUUCAAGAGCAGAGGAUUCCAAAACCUAAAUCCAAGUCUUACGGCGCGAACUUUUCUUGGAACAAAAGAACAAGGGUGUCCACAAAAUAGGUUGGCAUUGGCUGUCUCUGUGUCUGACUGUGAAUAAAGUCAGCUGUGCUGUAUUUAUAGUCCAUGUAUAAUACAUCUCUUAAUCUCCUAAUAAAUUUGACCUUUAAACUA
RNA transcript from Hemicordylus capensis (graceful crag lizard), 944 nucleotides. It is a transcript of the gene named NADH:ubiquinone oxidoreductase subunit S4, with no coding region annotated. Lineage: Eukaryota; Metazoa; Chordata; Lepidosauria; Squamata; Cordylidae. The transcript is spliced from 6 exons. The record is from RefSeq and is a predicted model, not a curated record.